GAUGAACGCUAGCGAUAGGCUUAACACAUGCAAGUCGAGGGGCAGCAUGGUCUUAGCUUGCUAAGACUGAUGGCGACCGGCGCACGGGUGCGUAACGCGUAUGCAACUUGCCUCACAGAGGGGGAUAACCCGUCGAAAGACGGACUAAUACCGCGUACACUCUAUUUUGGGCAUCCAAGGUAGAGGAAAUGAAAUUCGCUGUGAGAUAGGCAUGCGUCCCAUUAGCUAGUUGGUGAGGUAACGGCUCACCAAGGCGACGAUGGGUAGGGGAACUGAGAGGUGGAACCCGCACACUGGUACUGAGACACGGACCAGACUCAUACGGGAGGCAGCAGUGAGGAAUAUUGGUCAAUGGGCGAGAGCCUGAACCAGCCAAGUCGCGUGAAGGAUGACUGUCUUAUGGAUUGUAAACUUCUUUUGUAGGGGAAUAAAGAGGGGCACGUGUGCCCCAGUGAAUGUACCCUACGAAUAAGCAUCGGCUAACUCCGUG
Molecule: ribosomal RNA, 490 nt
Filed under: uncultured bacterium
Lineage: Bacteria
Description: partial 16S ribosomal RNA
Rfam family: Bacterial small subunit ribosomal RNA
Source: RNAcentral